RNAcentral lists this non-coding RNA (71 nucleotides) under Anaerotruncus rubiinfantis. Its description in RNAcentral is "Glycine riboswitch". It matches the Rfam family "Glycine riboswitch aptamer". From Rfam's summary of the family: This family represents the bacterial glycine riboswitch. Glycine riboswitches usually consist of two metabolite-binding aptamers domains with similar structures in tandem. The record is from RNAcentral. Lineage: Bacteria; Bacillati; Bacillota; Clostridia; Eubacteriales; Oscillospiraceae.
UCAAUCCGGGAGAGACCGCAAGGCGCCGAAGGGGUACUGCAAGAAACUCUCAGGCAAAAGGACCGGAUUGG